This 2381-nucleotide ribosomal RNA is filed under the name Salmonella enterica. Its description in RNAcentral is "partial 23S ribosomal RNA". It matches the Rfam family "Bacterial large subunit ribosomal RNA", at positions 568 to 2925 of the family's 2925-position model. The record is from RNAcentral. RNAcentral also lists the same sequence under 1 other name. Lineage: Bacteria; Pseudomonadati; Pseudomonadota; Gammaproteobacteria; Enterobacterales; Enterobacteriaceae.
AAGCAGAGGGGGCUUAGUGGUGGGGUGACUGCGUACCUUUUGUAUAAUGGGUCAGCGACUUAUAUUCUGUAGCAAGGUUAACCGAAUAGGGGAGCCGGAGGGAAACCGAGUCUUAACCGGGCGUUAAGUUGCAGGGUAUAGACCCGAAACCCGGUGAUCUAGCCAUGGGCAGGUUGAAGGUUGGGUAACACUAACUGGAGGACCGAACCGACUAAUGUUGAAAAAUUAGCGGAUGACCUGUGGCUGGGGGUGAAAGGCCAAUCAAACCGGGAGAUAGCUGGUUCUCCCCGAAAGCUAUUUAGGUAGCGCCUCGUGAACUCAUCUCCGGGGGUAGAGCACUGUUUCGGCUAGGGGGCCAUCCCGGCUUACCAACCCGAUGCAAACUGCGAAUACCGGAGAAUGUUAUCACGGGAGACACACGGCGGGUGCUAACGUCCGUCGUGAAGAGGGAAACAACCCAGACCGCCAGCUAAGGUCCCAAAGUCAUGGUUAAGUGGGAAACGAUGUGGGAAGGCCCAGACAGCCAGGAUGUUGGCUUAGAAGCAGCCAUCAUUUAAAGAAAGCGUAAUAGCUCACUGGUCGAGUCGGCCUGCGCGGAAGAUGUAACGGGGCUAAACCAUGCACCGAAGCUGCGGCAGCGACACUCAGGUGUUGUUGGGUAGGGGAGCGUUCUGUAAGCCUGCGAAGGUGGCCUGUGAGGGUUGCUGGAGGUAUCAGAAGUGCGAAUGCUGACAUAAGUAACGAUAAAGCGGGUGAAAAGCCCGCUCGCCGGAAGACCAAGGGUUCCUGUCCAACGUUAAUCGGGGCAGGGUGAGUCGACCCCUAAGGCGAGGCCGAAAGGCGUAGUCGAUGGGAAACGGGUUAAUAUUCCCGUACUUGGUGUUACUGCGAAGGGGGGACGGAGAAGGCUAUGUUGGCCGGGCGACGGUUGUCCCGGUUUAAGCGUGUAGGUGUGUGUUCCAGGUAAAUCCGGUUCACUUUAACACUGAGGCGUGAUGACGAGGCACUACGGUGCUGAAGCAACAAAUGCCCUGCUUCCAGGAAAAGCCUCUAAGCAUCAGGUAACAUCAAAUCGUACCCCAAACCGACACAGGUGGUCAGGUAGAGAAUACCAAGGCGCUUGAGAGAACUCGGGUGAAGGAACUAGGCAAAAUGGUGCCGUAACUUCGGGAGAAGGCACGCUGACACGUAGGUGAAGUGAUUUACUCAUGGAGCUGAAGUCAGUCGAAGAUACCAGCUGGCUGCAACUGUUUAUUAAAAACACAGCACUGUGCAAACACGAAAGUGGACGUAUACGGUGUGACGCCUGCCCGGUGCCGGAAGGUUAAUUGAUGGGGUCAGCGCAAGCGAAGCUCCUGAUCGAAGCCCCGGUAAACGGCGGCCGUAACUAUAACGGUCCUAAGGUAGCGAAAUUCCUUGUCGGGUAAGUUCCGACCUGCACGAAUGGCGUAAUGAUGGCCAGGCUGUCUCCACCCGAGACUCAGUGAAAUUGAACUCGCUGUGAAGAUGCAGUGUACCCGCGGCAAGACGGAAAGACCCCGUGAACCUUUACUAUAGCUUGACACUGAACAUUGAGCCUUGAUGUGUAGGAUAGGUGGGAGGCUUUGAAGUGUGGACGCCAGUCUGCAUGGAGCCGGCCUUGAAAUACCACCCUUUAAUGUUUGAUGUUCUAACGUGGACCCGUGAUCCGGGUUGCGGACAGUGUCUGGUGGGUAGUUUGACUGGGGCGGUCUCCUCCUAAAGAGUAACGGAGGAGCACGAAGGUUGGCUAAUCCUGGUCGGACAUCAGGAGGUUAGUGCAAUGGCAUAAGCCAGCUUGACUGCGAGCGUGACGGCGCGAGCAGGUGCGAAAGCAGGUCAUAGUGAUCCGGUGGUUCUGAAUGGAAGGGCCAUCGCUCAACGGAUAAAAGGUACUCCGGGGAUAACAGGCUGAUACCGCCCAAGAGUUCAUAUCGACGGCGGUGUUUGGCACCUCGAUGUCGGCUCAUCACAUCCUGGGGCUGAAGUAGGUCCCAAGGGUAUGGCUGUUCGCCAUUUAAAGUGGUACGCGAGCUGGGUUUAGAACGUCGUGAGACAGUUCGGUCCCUAUCUGCCGUGGGCGCUGGAGAACUGAGGGGGGCUGCUCCUAGUACGAGAGGACCGGAGUGGACGCAUCACUGGUGUUCGGGUUGUCAUGCCAAUGGCACUGCCCGGUAGCUAAAUGCGGAAGAGAUAAGUGCUGAAAGCAUCUAAGCACGAAACUUGCCCCGAGAUGAGUUCUCCCUGAGACUUUAGGUCUCCUGAAGGAACGUUGAAGACGACGACGUUGAUAGGCCGGGUGUGUAAGCGCAGCGAUGCGUUGAGCUAACCGGUACUAAUGAACCGUGAGGCUUAACCUUACA